This 497-nucleotide ribosomal RNA is filed under the name uncultured bacterium. RNAcentral describes it as "partial 16S ribosomal RNA". It matches the Rfam family "Bacterial small subunit ribosomal RNA", at positions 28 to 507 of the family's 1533-position model. The record is from RNAcentral.
GAUGAACGCUGGCGGCGUGCCUAAUACAUGCAAGUCGAGCGAACGGACGAGAAGCUUGCUUUUCUGAUGUUAGCGGCGGACGGGUGAGUAACACGUGGAUAACCUACCUAUAAGACUGGGAUAACUUCGGGAAACCGGAGCUAAUACCGGAUAAUAUUUUGAACCGCAUGGUUCAAAAGUGAAAGACGGUCUUGCUGUCACUUAUAGAUGGAUCCGCGCUGCGUUAGCUAGUUGGUAAGGUAACGGCUUACCAAGGCAACGAUGCAUAGCCGACCUGAGAGGGUGAUCGGCCACACUGAAACUGAGACACGGUCCAGACUCCUACGGGAGGCAGCAGUAGGGAAUCUUCCGCAAUGGGCGAAAGCCUGACGGAGCAACGCCGCGUGAGUGAUGAAGGUCUUCGGAUCGUAAAACUCUGUUAUUAGGGAAGAACAUAUGUGUAAGUAACUGUGCACAUCUUGACGGUACCUAAUCAGAAAGCCACGGCUAACUACGUG